CAUCCGGUACAGUGCCCUUGGGGCGCUGUUGCUGCUGCUGCGGUUGCUCGGGCCGAGGGCGCGGCUUCGCUUGCUCAGUGCGCUGACGAGGCAGUUCAGUGCGCUGAUCCUCCAGGCGAGACCCCUGUAAAAAAGUUUACCUGUAUGAGAGAUAACUGCUCCAUGCUCUGGCGCCUCACUCGAAGCGCGUUGAAAGGCGUGCGAGGCGCGCUGUCGUCGUCGGAGGUCGGCGCAGGAGGCGACUCCGUCUCCGCUGGCAUCCCAAGCACCUUACGCAGAUCGCUGAUGUUCAUCUGAGCCGUCGCCAUUCCGAGAACGUCACCAAGCUGCAGACAACAAACAAACACAUUUAUGUAACAUACAAAUAAUUAUAGCCUCAACUGUUUAAAGAUUCAAAAUGUGAAGUGUAAAUAUUCUGAGAAAGGUGUAAAUAUAGAGGCCAUUUUUAUGGAA
Long non-coding RNA from Helicoverpa zea (corn earworm), 453 nucleotides. RefSeq lists it as uncharacterized. NCBI's taxonomy places the organism in Eukaryota, Metazoa, Arthropoda, Insecta, Lepidoptera, Noctuidae. The record is from RefSeq and is a predicted model, not a curated record. The transcript is spliced from 2 exons.